AUGUUGAGCCCUCGUGCUGAUGUCAUCCCAGUUGUCAUGGUUACAGGUGAACAAGCUGCUGGAAGUGCAAAAUCAGCGCCGGGCUCCAAGGGGAAGGGAGGAUGGAGGGGGGAACCUGGGGAGGAACCUGGUGCUGGAAGUGAGCGAGCAGAAACAGCUGCCAUCCCCAGGUUUGAGGACUCUACUGUGACCCUGGCAUGCACUCUCUCAAGCACCCUCUGCUUGAAACAGUCCAACGAGGCUGAUUUGGAGCCCUCUCAGAUAUGUCUGUCGGCUGAGGAAUGUGCUGAACAGGCUGACCAACAGAAGUGCUCAUUUUUUCUGUCAUUCAGAAAUUGUGAAGCUCUGUAG
RNAcentral lists this long non-coding RNA (351 nucleotides) under Anser brachyrhynchus (Pink-footed goose). Its description in RNAcentral is "lncRNA (ENSABRG00000010481.1)". The record is from RNAcentral. Lineage: Eukaryota; Metazoa; Chordata; Aves; Anseriformes; Anatidae.